This is an RNA transcript of Erinaceus europaeus (western European hedgehog), 2016 nucleotides long. It is a transcript of the gene named KH RNA binding domain containing, signal transduction associated 3, with no coding region annotated. NCBI's taxonomy places the organism in Eukaryota, Metazoa, Chordata, Mammalia, Eulipotyphla, Erinaceidae. The record is from RefSeq and is a predicted model, not a curated record. The transcript is spliced from 11 exons.
GCGGCGGCUCAGAGCGUGCGGGGCGGCGCGGGGCGUGCAGGUGGCGGCAGAGCUCGGGCGGCUCCGGGACUGGCGGGGCCGCUCGCUUCUCCCCCGCACCCCAGGUUCGCUGAGCGCGCCUCCGGCCCGCCGGACCGUGCCAGCCCGCGCCCUGCUCCCCGCCAGCCCAGCUGCGGGAACGCGGGGAAGGCGGUGCGGGAACCGCGUCCCGGAGGGAGCGGCCGCGGCGCGGGACACUCGGCGGACACCCGGGAGCCUUGCCGCGCGAUCGCUUCCCGCCUCUGCGCCGCCGCUGCCGCCGGGCCGACCUGCGGGCUUGGCCCCGCCGCGCCCGGUCCCGGGUCCGCGCCUGUCGGGGUGCGGGGGGAGGGAUCGGGGGCUGCGGGGCGGCUGCUGCCCGCCCGCCUCGAGUCCCCGUCCCGGGCCCGGGCGGCGGGGCGAGCAUGGAGGAGAAGUACCUGCCGGAGCUGAUGGCGGAGAAGGACUCGCUGGACCCCUCCUUCACGCACGCCCUGCGGCUGGUGAACCAAGAAAUAGAAAAGUUUCAAAAAGGAGAAGGCAAGGAUGAAGAAAAGUACAUUGAUGUGGUGAUUAAUAAGAACAUGAAGCUGGGACAGAAAGUGUUAAUUCCUGUUAAACAAUUCCCUAAGUUCAACUUUGUGGGGAAACUUUUGGGUCCACGUGGCAAUUCUCUGAAACGUUUACAAGAAGAAACCUUGACAAAAAUGUCCAUUCUUGGAAAAGGAUCCAUGAGAGACAAAGCAAAGGAAGAAGAGUUGAGGAAAAGUGGAGAAGCAAAGUACUUCCACCUCAAUGAUGACCUGCAUGUUCUCAUUGAAGUUUUUGCUCCGCCAGCAGAAGCAUAUGCCCGAAUGGGACAUGCUUUAGAAGAAAUCAAAAAGUUUCUCAUUCCUGACUAUAAUGAUGAAAUCAGGCAAGCACAGCUUCAGGAAUUAACAUAUCUGAAUGGUGGUACAGAAAACGCAGAUUUGCCAGUUGUCCGGGGGAAGCCCACUUUGCGUACAAGGGGUGUACCAACCUCCUCGAUAACCAGGGGGAGGGGCGGAGCUACAGCCAGACCAGUUGGAGUUGGCGUACCACGAGGCACUACCACUUCCAGGGGAGUUCUUUCUACCCGAGGGCCAGUGAGUCGGGGAAGAGGACUUCUUACUCCUAGAGCAAGAGGAGUCCCUCCAUCUGGGUACAGACAGCUACCGCCUCCUCCAGCACAGGAGACAUAUGGAGACUAUGAUUAUGAUGAUGGAUAUGGUGCUGCCUAUGAUGAACAAAGUUAUGAUUCCUACGAUAACAACUAUAGCACCCCCACCCAAAGUGGUGCUGAUUACUAUGAUUAUGGACAUGGGCUCAGUGAAGAGACUUAUGAUUCCUAUGGGCAAGAAGAGUGGACUAACUCAAGACACAAGGCUCCCUCAGCGAGGACAGCAAAGGGCGUCUACAGAGACCAGCCAUAUGGCAGAUACUGAUUGUACUGUCUGAUGUUGUGAAAUAGCCAAUCUCCACCAGUCCUGUAUACUGUUCAAAGAAAUAAUCAGCCAUCUUGGAAAGUCAAAGAAACAGGUUGUGCAUCAAGAUCAAGCAAAGGACUUUCCCUCUCACUAUGGACUGCUUAAGAACAGUCAACUCACCAACAUGCCUAGUCAGUAAAUGAAUUUGCUUGGAAACUCGAAAGUCGUCUUAAUUAUUAUUAUUUUUGGUACAGUUUUGUUUUCUGUGAAAUAUUUUAUAAAAUGAUAGACUUUUUGAUUUGGAGAGUUGUUUAAUACAAGGAAAAAACCUUUGUUUUCUCCCUAAUAGCAAAAAAAAAAAAGAGAGUAAUGUGUGUACUACUAAAUAAAAGCUACCCAUUGAAAUCUCUUCUACUUUAAUGUAAGUCUUAAAAAAAAAUCCCACUGGAACAAGCCUCUAACUUUUCCCAGCUCGUGAAUGAUGUACAGCCACAAGUCACUGCAAGAAAUCAAGGUUCUGCAUCCAUUUCCAGAUGUUGAAAUGAUGUAU